RNAcentral lists this unclassified non-coding RNA (267 nucleotides) under Hevea brasiliensis (rubber tree). Lineage: Eukaryota; Viridiplantae; Streptophyta; Magnoliopsida; Malpighiales; Euphorbiaceae. The record is from RNAcentral.
GCCCUCCAAGCCUUUAGAAUGAAGAUCCAGAAGGGUGACUCUUUUGUGCCUGCGACCACAGAUGACACCUACCCAAUUGCAGAAAUGGACAGAACCAUUCCAUGAACUCGUGGCAUUUUGGGGAUCAUGCACAAUCUUUGCCUUGAAUUUUAACAAAGCAAGAUAAUCUGUCUCAUUCCCACCACCGGUUGUAGCAGCGUUAGUGGAGGGAACUUCGAAGUUCAGCCACAUAAGGAGCAAGAGGACAAUGCAUUUCACAGAAAAUGG